UACAGAGGGUGCGAGCGUUGUCCGGAAUCACUGGGCGUAAAGGGCGCGUAGGCGGCCUGAUAAGUAGGGGGUGAAAUCCUGUGGCUCAACUGCAGGGCUGCCUCCUAGACUGUCGGGCUUGAGCACGGUAGAGGCAGAUGGAAUUCCCGGUGUAGCGGUGGAAUGCGUAGAUAUCUGGAGGAACACCGGUGGCGAAGGCGACAUCCUGGACCGGUAUUGACGCUGAGGCGCGAAAGCCAGGGGAGCAAACGGG
Molecule: ribosomal RNA, 253 nt
Filed under: uncultured bacterium
Lineage: Bacteria
Description: partial 16S ribosomal RNA
Rfam family: Bacterial small subunit ribosomal RNA
Source: RNAcentral